This 202-nucleotide long non-coding RNA is filed under the name Elaeis guineensis (African oil palm). RNAcentral describes it as "long non-coding RNA (EGUI_LNC006593)". Lineage: Eukaryota; Viridiplantae; Streptophyta; Magnoliopsida; Arecales; Arecaceae. The record is from RNAcentral.
GAUUUAUGUCACAAAUUGACAUAAAAAGUAUCAAUUAAUAUCUAAAUUAUCUAACUUUAUUAAAAAAUUGAUACUUGUUAUUAUAUUUUGCAGAAGAAGAGAUCAUCAAUAGAAAGAACAAGGAAAGAGGAUUCCAACGGCGUAAAUUUUAUGCAAAACGGAGUUAAAUUGACCCAGGAAUUGAAGAAUAAAGAAAGAAGAC